UUUUGAGUAUAAGUAUAUCCCAUGCCAUAUUUGGGACAUAAUUGUAUUAAAA
Non-coding RNA from Papio anubis (olive baboon), 52 nucleotides. The record is from Rfam. NCBI's taxonomy places the organism in Eukaryota, Metazoa, Chordata, Mammalia, Primates, Cercopithecidae.